This 253-nucleotide ribosomal RNA is filed under the name uncultured bacterium. Its description in RNAcentral is "partial 16S ribosomal RNA". It matches the Rfam family "Bacterial small subunit ribosomal RNA", at positions 524 to 776 of the family's 1533-position model. The record is from RNAcentral.
UACGUAGGGGGCUAGCGUUGUCCGGAAUCAUUGGGCGUAAAGCGCGUGUAGGCGGUCCGGUAAGUCCGCUGUGAAAGUCGGGGGCUCAACCCUCGGAUGCCGGUGGAUACUGUCGGGCUUGAGUACGGAAGAGGCGAGUGGAAUUCCUGGUGUAGCGGUGAAAUGCGCAGAUAUCAGGAGGAACACCAAUUGCGAAGGCAGCCCGCUGGGACGUUACUGACGCUGAGACGCGAAAGCGUGGGGAGCAAACAGG